GUGGUCUAAAGGAUAAGACGUCCGGUGCAUUCGUAUCGAGCGAUGCACCGGUGUUCGAAUCCUGCAAGCGGGUACCAAUUUUUCUAAUGAAAUACGUACUUAACAAAUGUUCACGAUUGACUUCCACGGUGAAGGAAUAACAUUGUGUAAUAAAAAUCAAACCCGCAAAAUUAUAAUUUGCGUAAUUACUGGUGGUAGGACAUCUUGUGAGUCCGCACGGGUAGGUACCACCGCUCCGCCUAUUUCUGCCGUGAAGCAGUAAUGCGUUUCGGUUUGAAGGGUGGAGCAGCCGUUGUAACUAUACUGAGAUCUUAGAACUUAUAUCUCAAGAUGGGUGGCGCAUUUACGUUGUAGAUGUCUAUGGGCUCCUGUAGCAACUUAACACCAGGUGGGCUGUGAGCUCGUCCACACAUCUAAGCAACAAAAAAAAAAAACAACAAAAUUAAGGUCGUUGGUCUAUUGACAAAUGUUACCGGCUUGGUUAAAGAUCUUUCUGGUUUUUUCCAAAUAUGUAUAUGACGGCGUUAACAAUAUUUCUAAUAAACAUCACGAGCAACAGGCGUGACUCACACAAGCCGGGUGCGCCGGCCGUGUCGUUCCACUCGUGCAACAGAAGUGACUCAUAAGCCAGCUGCGCCGGCUAGUAUAAAAAGGCGGUGCGUGCCUUGCGAGAAACAUUCGUUGGACUGCGCUUGCCUGGUGCACUUACUAUAUCCUCGUUACGUUGUGUGAUUCAGUGACUGUUGUACGUACUGGUUAAAGUUGGACAAGUGUUAAAGUGAAUUGUUAAGAUAACAUAUUGUUGAUUAAAUCAGGAAUCAAAUAGUGACAUCGUUUUACUUGGUGUUCAACAAGAUAAUGUCUACCCUCAAGCCUACAUCAGAAGUGAGAUCAGGACUCUACUCUCACUGGCGUGACGUGUUUGAACAUGUUCGAAGUACAGCAAAAAAAACAUGAUGCAGAUCAGAAUACUAGUAGUGGUACGCCACAAGAGCGUGAAUGCAGCAUACGUAAGUCGUGUAAUAACGUCUCUGUUACCUCGAUGGAAGAUCUGAGCCACGAAGAAAUCGUCACAUCUUACGUUCUGGCUCAUGUUGCCCAGUUUGACUGUCGACGUCAUCACAUGGCAUUUACUAACGGAAAUACAACACGUAACAAACUAUUGCAAGAAAUUAAGGCAAGUGCAAAUCUCAAGUGAAACUUCGAUCGCAAUAAUGGAUCUGUCAUGACGAGUGGGUAGUUCCGACACGAAUCGUUUUUAAGCCAAUGACUACUGCUAGAGUUACAUGGCACUAGUACAGUAAACCAGGACAUGAGACUGUGAAUUGUCGCUGAAAUUUUAGAAUCUACUCGAUUCAAUACCAAUAACAUUACACGUUCGAUGACUUCGGGCUCCAGCAAGCAAGCAAACAAGAAAGCAAGCAAGUUUCCGUGGGGAAGAAAAAUUGACACAUCUGAAGUCGUCGUGACCUGUAAGAUAAGACGUCCGGUGCGUUCGUGUCUGGCGAUGCGGCGGUGUUCGGGUUCCGCUGGCGGAUGCAGGUUUUUCCGGUGAAGUGCGUGCUUGUGCGUGCUUGACAAGUGUUCGCGGUUGGCUUCCUCAGUGUGGGAGUAACAUCGUGUAAGAGAGGUGGAACCCGUAAAAUUGUAGUUUGCGUGGUGGCUGGUAAGAUUUGUUGCGGUAAGAAGUUUGCAUGGUGGUAAAAUGUCUUGUGAGUCUGCACAGGUAGCCGGAGGUGAGACUUCCGCGGUCGCGGCCCACCCAGUCCGCGAGAACCGGGCAGAUCGCCUCGACGGUACGGAGGCCGGCCGACGGGUCCGCCAAACGACGAGACCACGCCUCCAGCACGGACUGCCGAUAUUGGAGCCCCCGCGCUCCGGCUGCACUUGCGCUAGGGCGCGCCGCCUCGUAGGAGACUGUGAGCCUGCAAAACCUGAACAACCUCCUCAUCCGUGGGCGCCCGGCUCUCGCCUGCAAGUCGGCUGUUACGUGUGCGGUGAUGCGAGCCAUGUAGCUUCUGAGUGUUCCAUGCGCUACAAGAAGAAAAACGACACUGCUCCAGGUGCUGUGGCAGGUCCAACCAGAGACGUCAACGUGUGUUCCAGAGCUUCAGUGUGUUACAGAUAAGUGGUUUUGGCUCCCCCUUUAUGUUCCAUUCAGGGUCAGACUGUAGUCUUAUAAAACAAAGCCAUAGUAAUUUAUUCAAUGGUAAGCGGUUUCAUGAACAAGUCACCGUAGUCACCCUAGACACGUCCUUACGGAUCCAUCAGAUCCAAUAACUCUUGCAUUAGAUACCUUCAGCUCUAACACUAGGAGCAGGCUGAGGAACCCCAGUAAUCGUACUCGUCGAACUCGACAAAGAGGUCGACGUGCAACCUAACCCAUGCAUCAGCCCACUGAGUUUCUCGCCGGAUCUUCUCAGUGGGUCGCGAUUCCGAUCCGGUAGUAGAUUCAUUCGCGAAGCAAUUGCUCUUGAGUUGUUAGGUCUCCUGCGGAGGCGCUCGGGCAGUUGUUAGCAAAUCCCACCCCUCUUGGCUGAGCCUUUGCUCGCCCACCCGUCCUGGUGAAGCGGGAAAGGCCUCCGGGCCACCAGUAAUCUUUCAAUCAUCUGCAGUUUUGGAAAACGAUAGGUAUAAGUUGAGAUAUGUAAAUGGUUCUAGUGCACAAAGCUCCCCAUGAAAACUUACGCGAAGUACCUCGAGGCCCGUCAGGCCUACUAGAAAUUUCUGAAAAUUAUAGUGACGAUGACGUGACGGCGUACACAGAUGGGUUAAUUAAUCUUGUUCGUGAAACUGAUCUUAAUGAUGACGACUCUAUCACUGACAAUAGAAGCGACAUUUUUGUCCGCAAAUAGCGAUACAGCAAACAUAGUCUGUGGGUAGUGAUACAAUGUCUGUAAGCUCAGGCACCUCAGGUGCAGGUGUUGGAAAUGUAGAAAACGAUGGUCGGUCUCGCACUAUUUCUGAAGAAAUUCCGUAUAUGUCCGUAUUCCGUAAAUGUUCUGGUUUAAGAAAUGUUUUAACAAACGCUACCGUACACGCAGAUUAAAAAAAAAAAAAAAGAGAAUUGUAUGUGGAUAGAGAGAUGUUAAUCCGGACUAGCAAAAAAAAAAGAGAAAAAAAAGUGUGAAGUCAUUGAAGGGUCUGUCCGGUCCAAUGGCUUGGCUAUAGGGAUUUUCAUCCAGAUUAGCCACAACAAUUAGCUACAGGGAUUGCGAUCCGGUCUAGCAUUAUCCGGUCCAGUUCGAAAAACUGAAGGGAUAACAAUUCCGAUUUAAGUUAAAAGGGACAUACUUACAUACCUGAAGAGAUUUAAAUGAACUGGCCCAGGUAUGUAAGCAGUCAGUAUUUAUAGCCAGUAUAGGAUUUUCUGAAGAAUUAUGCGAACCGAACCGUAUUAGAUUGUUAAUAUCAUAGACCACGUUUUAAGUUGCAUCCGUUAAUGUCAGGAUGAACGAAUACGCUUAUUGUCUACAGAACAACCAUAAAAAGGCGCACGAGGACGAGCGCAUGUCAGUAUGGCCGUGACGGCGUUAACAAUAUUUCUAAUAAACAUCACGAGCAACAGGCGUGACUCACACAAGCCGGGUGCGCCGGCCGUGUCGUUCCACUCGUGCAACAGAAGUGACUCAUAAGCCAGCUGCGCCGGCUAGUAUAAAAAGGCGGUGCGUGCCUUGCGAGAAACAUUCGUUGGACUGCGCUUGCCUGGUGCACUUACUAUAUCCUCGUUACGUUGUGUGAUUCAGUGACUGUUGUACGUACUGGUUAAAGUUGGACAAGUGUUAAAGUGAAUUGUUAAGAUAACAUAUUGUUGAUUAAAUCAGGAAUCAAAUAG
This is a long non-coding RNA of Bombyx mori (domestic silkworm), 3835 nucleotides long. RefSeq lists it as uncharacterized. The transcript is spliced from 2 exons. The record is from RefSeq and is a predicted model, not a curated record. NCBI's taxonomy places the organism in Eukaryota, Metazoa, Arthropoda, Insecta, Lepidoptera, Bombycidae.